This 253-nucleotide ribosomal RNA is filed under the name uncultured bacterium. RNAcentral's name for it is "partial 16S ribosomal RNA". It matches the Rfam family "Bacterial small subunit ribosomal RNA", at positions 524 to 776 of the family's 1533-position model. The record is from RNAcentral.
UACGGAGGUCUCAAGCGUUGUUCGGAUUCAUUGGGCGUAAAGGGUGCGUAGGCGGCGCGGUAAGUCGGGUGUGAAAUCUCGGAGCUUAACUCCGAAACUGCAUUCGAUACUGCCGUGCUUGAGGACUGGAGAGGAGACUGGAAUUUACGGUGUAGCGGUGAAAUGCGUAGAUAUCGUAAGGAAGACCAGUGGCGAAGGCGGGUCUCUGGACAGUUCCUGACACUGAGGCACGAAGGCCAGGGGAGCAAACGGG